Molecule: ribosomal RNA, 269 nt
Filed under: uncultured bacterium
Lineage: Bacteria
Description: partial 16S ribosomal RNA
Rfam family: Bacterial small subunit ribosomal RNA
Source: RNAcentral
GACGAACGCUGGCGGCGUGCUUAACACAUGCAAGUCGAGCGGUAAGGCCCUUUCGGGGGUACACGAGCGGCGAACGGGUGAGUAACACGUGGGUGACCUGCCCUUAGCUCCGGGAUAAGCCUGGGAAACUGGGUCUAAUACCGGAUAUGACUCCAUGACGCAUGUUGUGGGGUGGAAAGCCUUGUGCGGCUAGGGAUGGGCCCGCGGCCUAUCAGCUUGUUGGUGGGGUGAUGGCCUACCAAGGCGACGACGGGUAGCCGGCCUGAGGG